CUAGGGAAUAUUCAUCUAGGCUCUAAUUGGAAGGAAAUAGCUGCCAUGUAAAAACAGGAUUUUAAUUUAAAUACUAAGCUUUCUAUCUUAACAUUUACUCAUUUUUAAAAAUACGUAUUUGUUUUUUCACGUAUUUAAAAUUUAAAAGCAAAGAAACUUAAUUGAUUGCAUAGUUAACUCAGUCCUCCUAGUUAUUCAUGGAUUGUUAAGGAAAGAUUUUCUUUUCACUUCCUAAACACCUUUACAAUUUAGAAACACUGAAUCCAAAGUAGAAAAUUUCCGUCCCUAUAGAAAAGUCAAAACUGUCCAAAAAUUUUUUUUCAAAGGAGACUAUAAACAUUGAAAUGAAUUUUUCUUAACUUGGUGGUAUGACUAUCUCUCCAAAGAAUUAUUUUAAAAUCUCAUUAAUCACAUCUC
This 417-nucleotide long non-coding RNA is filed under the name Bos taurus (domestic cattle). RNAcentral describes it as "long non-coding RNA NONBTAT011842". Lineage: Eukaryota; Metazoa; Chordata; Mammalia; Artiodactyla; Bovidae. The record is from RNAcentral.